This 90-nucleotide ribosomal RNA is filed under the name Pseudoclavibacter sp. AY1F1. Lineage: Bacteria; Bacillati; Actinomycetota; Actinomycetes; Micrococcales; Microbacteriaceae. The record is from RNAcentral.
CCCGGUUACAUUCCGAACCCGGAAGCUAAGACUCUCAGCGCCGAUGGUACUGCAGGGGGGACCCUGUGGGAGAGUAGGUCACCGCCGGAC